GACGAACGCUGGCGGCGUGCCUAACACAUGCAAGUCGUGCGGUCUCGCCUUAAGCGAAAGGCCUUCGGGCUUUGAAGCGAAAGGCGAGAUAGCGGCGGACGGGUGAGUAACGCGUGGCUUAUCUGUCCCAGGGAGGGGGAUAACGUCUGGAAACGGGCGCUAAUACCCCAUAUGCCUAAAAGGUGAAAAGGAGAGAUCCGCCCUGGGGUGAGGCCGCGUCCUAUCAGCUCGUUGGUGAGGUAACGGCCCACCAAGGCUAUGACGGGUAGCCGGCCUGAGAGGGCGGCUGGCCACACUGGGAUUGAGAUACGGCCCAGACUCCUACGGGAGGCAGCAGUGGGGAAUAUUGGGCAAUGGGGGAAACCCUGACCCCAGCGACGCCGCGUGGAGGAAGGAGCCCUUCGGGGUGUAAACUCCUGUUGUAAGGGAAGAAGAUCUGACGGUACCUUACGAGGAAGCCCCGGCAAACUACGUG
RNAcentral lists this ribosomal RNA (475 nucleotides) under uncultured bacterium. RNAcentral's name for it is "bacterial SSU rRNA". It matches the Rfam family "Bacterial small subunit ribosomal RNA", at positions 28 to 507 of the family's 1533-position model. The record is from RNAcentral.